Non-coding RNA from Oryctolagus cuniculus (rabbit), 46 nucleotides. NCBI's taxonomy places the organism in Eukaryota, Metazoa, Chordata, Mammalia, Lagomorpha, Leporidae. The record is from Rfam.
CCAAAGGCUCUUUUAAGAGCCACCCCCGUGGUCGGCAAAGGGUGCG